RNAcentral lists this long non-coding RNA (743 nucleotides) under Homo sapiens (human). RNAcentral describes it as "long non-coding RNA NONHSAT179459.1". Lineage: Eukaryota; Metazoa; Chordata; Mammalia; Primates; Hominidae. The record is from RNAcentral.
GGUCAGACCAGCCCGAGAGGGACCUGGUGCCUGUACCCAGGCUUCUGUCGCUCUGUCGCCUGCGCUAUGCCCUGCUGUAGUCACAGGAGCUGUAGAGAGGACCCCGGUACAUCUGAAAGCCGGGAAAUGCAGGCUGGAGUUCAGUGGCACAACCUCGGCUCACCGCAGCCUCUGCCUUUCAGGUUCAAGCAAUUCUCCUGUCUCAGCCUCCUGAGUAGCUGGGAUUACAGGCAUGUGCCACCACACCUGGCUAAUUUUGUAUUUUUAGUAGAGACAAGGUUUCUCCAUGUUGGUCAGACUGGUCUCCAACUCCAACCUCAGGUGAUCGACCUGCCUCGGCCUCCAAAAGUGCUGGGCUUAUAGGCAUGAGCCACAGUGCCCGGCCAAGAUGUUAUUUUCUAAGUAUAAAUAAUAUUUCAAUGUAUUGUGUCCGGAAUUGGUGGGUUCUUGGUGUCACUGACUUCAAAAAUGAAGCCGUGGACCCUUGCGGAGUGAAGCUGCAGACCUUCGUGGUGAGUGUUAACAGCUCUUAAGGCAGCGCGUCUGGAGUUCUUCGUUCCUCCUGGUGGGCUCGUGAUCUCGCUGGCUUCAGGAGUGAAGCUGCAGACCUUUGUGGACCCAGUGGCCUUUGAGGAUGUGGCUGUGAACUUCACCCAGGAAGAGUGGACAUUGCUGGAUAUUUCCCAGAAGAAUCUCUUCAGGGAAGUGAUGCUGGAAACUUUCAGGAACCUGACCUCUAUAGG